UACGUAGGGGGCAAGCGUUGUCCGGAAUCAUUGGGCGUAAAGAGCUUGUAGGCGGCCAGAUAAGUCCGCUGUGAAAUCUCGAGGCUCAACUUCGAGCUGUCGGUGGAAACUGUCUGGCUAGAGUCCGGAAGAGGAGAAUGGAAUUCCUGGUGUAGCGGUGAAAUGCGCAGAUAUCAGGAAGAACACCCGUGGCGAAGGCGGUUCUCUGGGACGGUACUGACGCUGAGACGCGAAAGCGUGGGGAGCGAACAGG
This 253-nucleotide ribosomal RNA is filed under the name uncultured bacterium. Its description in RNAcentral is "partial 16S ribosomal RNA". It matches the Rfam family "Bacterial small subunit ribosomal RNA", at positions 524 to 776 of the family's 1533-position model. The record is from RNAcentral.